UCUCGCUGUAAAUCACGUGACCAAUCAUUGAAAAUGUUAAUUGCCUAAUUACCAGACAAAGAAACGCCACUUAUUGAUGAUGGGGACUAAUUUUUUAAUGAUCCGGAUUUGUAUUAUGGAUUGUCAAUCCCUGAGACGCAAAAAAAUCGGUUAUUGAAAGUUGGAAUCUCGUGAAACACGCGAGUUGCAUUUUGCGGGAGCAUCAAGUCGAAAAUGGUAAUGUUUGUCGUCAAUUUUGUGGUUUUUAUGGAUUUAUUAUCAGUGACACAUAUUUUAAAUUGAACAUUUACUAAAAUUAUUUUAUUCCUUUUUCAAGUCUUUGGUUGGGAAAGAAGUUGUCGUGGAGUUGAAGAAUGAUUUGAGUAUAUGUGGAACCUUGCAUUCUGUGGAUCAGUUUUUGAAUAUCAAAUUAACAGAUAUU
Long non-coding RNA from Patella vulgata (common limpet), 421 nucleotides. RefSeq lists it as uncharacterized. Lineage: Eukaryota; Metazoa; Mollusca; Gastropoda; Patellidae. The transcript has 3 exons. The record is from RefSeq and is a predicted model, not a curated record.